RNAcentral lists this long non-coding RNA (613 nucleotides) under Spirodela polyrhiza (greater duckweed). RNAcentral describes it as "long non-coding RNA (SPOL_LNC001827)". Lineage: Eukaryota; Viridiplantae; Streptophyta; Magnoliopsida; Alismatales; Araceae. The record is from RNAcentral.
GUGGGCCCGCACAACGGACUUUGACAAUUUCAGACGGUCUGUUACUCGGAGAUCAGAGGAGAGGACACGUUCUUUCCAUACCGUUCCGAUCCUGUUGUGCUGUUUAUGAUUUUUUAUAUGAUUUUUUAUAUGAUUUUUUAAUGAAAAUAUGUAAUCUUUUUUGUAAUAACGUACGGUAAUAUUAAUGGCUGCAGGCGCCGACCGGCAUUACGAAGUGGAAUAGCUGCGGACAGAGCCCCCUCUGUUCCUCUGUUCCUUCCGGCGGCAGCAGACAACUCGUGGGGAGCUUUAAAGAAGGGCAGUCGCCAAUUCCCGAGAGUCCCAGCCGUCUCGGCUAUCGAUGCUGCCGCCGUUCUCUUUUUACCGAACGUCUCGCUACACUACUCACCAUUAUCAAUUCAUUGGCUGCCGCAGGCAAGGUAAGGCUGGAAGCCAACGGUCUGCAGGUUUGAUUCUUCGAUCGGAUUCCGACGAGGCUGUCGUUGAUGCCUAUUCCAUGGAGUUCUCUCAACGGCAUCAGGUUACGUACUGCGAAAUUCCGGCGGGAACGGCCGGAGGAGGGGACUGAACCAGCACGCUUCGGAGCUGAAGGUUCCCUUUACUUGGGGAUAAG